AGGAACCCGAAGGAACCCCAAACAAGCCUCUCAAACUUGUCAUCACACUUCAUCGGUCGCAGAAGUACAUUCAACAUUAAUUAACGGGAAAUAGGGACUAAGGGCAAACCAUUUCAAAAUGACAUCAUAGAACAAGAGUCAAGCUCAUUUACAAAAUACUUGUCCAACGCACACCUCUACAUACAUAGAUAGGACGGGGCCAUGACAUUCUACCGGCUCCCCUCAUAGUCAAAAUACAAUUGUAAGCUAAAGUCUCAAAACAUAGGAGUAGGAAACAUAACAUAGCCCUCGAAUCAUUGAGGACUCACCAACAACUCGGAUAAGCACCGUACUAGCCACGUGAACGAAGAGAAGGAUCAAGAGUAGCUCCGGUCCCUACAUGGUGAC
RNAcentral lists this long non-coding RNA (387 nucleotides) under Solanum tuberosum (potato). RNAcentral describes it as "long non-coding RNA (STUB_LNC004811)". The record is from RNAcentral. Lineage: Eukaryota; Viridiplantae; Streptophyta; Magnoliopsida; Solanales; Solanaceae.